ACGCUGGCGGCAGGCCUAACACAUGCAAGUCGAGCGGUAGAGAGAAGCUUGCUUCUCUUGAGAGCGGCGGACGGGUGAGUAAUGCCUAGGAAUCUGCCUGGUAGUGGGGGAUAACGUCCGGAAACGGACGCUAAUACCGCAUACGUCCUACGGGAGAAAGCAGGGGACCUUCGGGCCUUGCGCUAUCAGAUGAGCCUAGGUCGGAUUAGCUAGUUGGUGGGGUAAUGGCUCACCAAGGCGACGAUCCGUAACUGGUCUGAGAGGAUGAUCAGUCACACUGGAACUGAGACACGGUCCAGACUCCUACGGGAGGCAGCAGUGGGGAAUAUUGGACAAUGGGCGAAAGCCUGAUCCAGCCAUGCCGCGUGUGUGAAGAAGGUCUUCGGAUUGUAAAGCACUUUAAGUUGGGAGGAAGGGCAGUUACCUAAUACGUGAUUGUUUUGACGUUACCGACAGAAUAAGCACCGGCUAACUCUGUGCCAGCAGCCGCGGUAAUACAGAGGGUGCAAGCGUUAAUCGGAAUUACUGGGCGUAAAGCGCGCGUAGGUGGUACGUUAAGUUGGAUGUGAAAUCCCCGGGCUCAACCUGGGAACUGCAUUCAAAACUGACGAGCUAGAGUAUGGUAGAGGGUGGUGGAAUUUCCUGUGUAGCGGUGAAAUGCGUAGAUAUAGGAAGGGACACCAGUGGCGAAGGCGACCACCUGGACUGAUACUGACACUGAGGUGCGAAAGCGUGGGGAGCAAAC
RNAcentral lists this ribosomal RNA (745 nucleotides) under uncultured bacterium. Its description in RNAcentral is "bacterial SSU rRNA". It matches the Rfam family "Bacterial small subunit ribosomal RNA", at positions 33 to 773 of the family's 1533-position model. The record is from RNAcentral.